Musca vetustissima is the source of this 251-nucleotide long non-coding RNA. RefSeq lists it as uncharacterized. The record is from RefSeq and is a predicted model, not a curated record. The transcript is spliced from 2 exons. NCBI's taxonomy places the organism in Eukaryota, Metazoa, Arthropoda, Insecta, Diptera, Muscidae.
CCAAAGUUCGGCCCGGCCGAACUUAACGCUUUUUCACUUGUUAUACCCUCCACCAUAGUAUGGAGGGUAUAUUAAUUUUGUCAUUCCGUUUGUAACACAUCGAAAUACUCAUUUCCGACCCUAUAAAGUAUAUAUAUUCUUGAUCAGGGUAAAAUUCUAAGACGAUCUAGCCAUGUCCGUCCGUCCGUCUGUCCGUCCCCAUGUCCGUCCGUCUGUUGUAAUCACGCUAUCUUUCGAAGGAAUUGAGAUAG